AUGCAGCUUACGGGUGGAUGUCGCAAGAGCAGCUCGAUUCAACGCGACGUGCUCCAGUUUUUGGGACUCCUUUUUGUUUUCACGGGAGAUUUGCACUUGAAAAGCCGCUGUCAAGUCUGCAUGCGCGAACACGCACGUAGUCAGUCCAGAAGCAGAAAUGAUGCCCUCUGGUUUCCAGAGCGAUCCCGGCUUCCUUCUGCACACCUAGCACACCAACCCCCAGAGCAGCCACAAGCAGCUCUCAACCCAGACCCCUGGGUGAAGACAGGAUGGCAAAUCCACGAGCCCCUGCCGAGGUUUCCCCGAAGGAGAAAGGUGUCUUUCCAAGGAAAGGAGCUCGUUCCUAAUGACACAGCACCGCCAGCUCACGCCAUCCAUCCGAAAGGUGCUUUGACCAUGAACUCCCACUCCCGGGGUGGAUUUUGCAUUCCUGAUGUAGGAAAAGCAGCGGUGCCCCCGCCGGCACCCGGGGCCGGUUCCUGCAGCUCCCGCCCUGCCCCGGGGCCGCUGCUGCAAGAGGAGCCUGGCUGCAGCCGGGUCCGGCCACAGACGGGGCAGUUUUGCCUCUCUGCAAUACAACCGGUGCCAGGCUGUACUGCAAAGCCGAAUCUGUGUUGGUUUAAGGGACCUGCGUGCUCUGAGCAUCACUGCAGCCUGUCCUACAGGGGCUCGCUCGCAGCACUCGUGGCCGAGCCAUGCCGUGCCGGGAGGCAGGGAUGUGCCGGAGCCUGCGGGGAGCCUGCCUGGUGGGGCUGGGGGCUGGAAGGCAUCGAUGGAUUGGCUUUAGGGACCUUUAGGGUCUCCCCCAAAAUGCCCUGGGAAACGUGGUGUGCACCCCGGCAGCACGGAGCUGUUUUUGCAGAGCUCCCCCCAGCUCCGUGGCCCAGCGUUUCCUCCGUCCGGUGCGAGCACAGCGAGCUCGGCACAGCCGGGAGGAGCCGUGCCAGGAGCUGGUCCUGUCCCUCUCACCACUGGAAGCGUUAUCGGGACAGGAGUGAAAUCUGGAGCCGGGCCGAGGUGGGAGAGGUGUGGGAACGCAGACAAGGCAGGGUUAUUUCCCCUGCCCCUGGAGAAGCGAGGCAGGAAAGACAUACAAAUAGACAUAAUUGA
RNAcentral lists this long non-coding RNA (1110 nucleotides) under Anser cygnoides (Swan goose). RNAcentral's name for it is "lncRNA (ENSACDG00005019375.1)". The record is from RNAcentral. Lineage: Eukaryota; Metazoa; Chordata; Aves; Anseriformes; Anatidae.